GACGAACGCUGGCGGCGUGCCUAACACAUGCAAGUCGAGCGAAGAAUACAUAAAGAAAUCUUCGGGUGGAAUUAUGUAUUUCUUAGCGGCGGACGGGUGAGUAACGCGUGAGGAACCUGCCUUGUACUAGGGGAUAGCCUCGGGAAACCGGGAUUAAUACCCUAUGAUACUUGAAAGUCGCAUGACUUUCAAGUCAAAGCGAUUUAGCGGUACAAGAUGGCCUCGCGUCCCAUUAGCUAGUUGGCGAGGUAAUAGCUCACCAAGGCGACGAUGGGUAGCCGGCCUGAGAGGGUGAACGGCCACACUGGAACUGAGACACGGUCCAGACUCCUACGGGAGGCAGCAGUGGGGAAUAUUGCACAAUGGAGGAAACUCUGAUGCAGCGACGCCGCGUGAGCGAUGAAGGUUUUCGAAUCGUAAAGCUCUGUCCUAAGGGACGAUAAUGACGGUACCUUAGGAGGAAGCCCCGGCUAACUACGUGCCAGCAGCCGCGGUAAUACGUAGGGGGCGAGCGUUGUCCGGAUUUAUUGGGCGUAAAGGGUGCGUAGGCGGCCUUGUAAGUCAGAUGUGAAAUCUCACGGCUUAACCGUGGUAAGCAUUUGAAACUGUGAGGCUUGAGUACAGGAGAGGAGAGUGGAAUUCCUAGUGUAGCGGUGAAAUGCGUAGAUAUUAGGAGGAAUACCAGUGGCGAAGGCGACUCUCUGGACUGUAACUGACGCUGAGGCACGAAAGCGUGGGGAGCAAACAGGAUUAGAUACCCUGGUAGUCCACGCCGUAAACGAUGAGUGCUAGGUGUCGGGGGUCAAACCUCGGUGCCGCAGUUAACACAUUAAGCACUCCGCCUGGGGAGUACGGUGGCAACACUGAAACUCAA
RNAcentral lists this ribosomal RNA (874 nucleotides) under uncultured bacterium. RNAcentral's name for it is "bacterial SSU rRNA". It matches the Rfam family "Bacterial small subunit ribosomal RNA", at positions 28 to 904 of the family's 1533-position model. The record is from RNAcentral.